AUACUCAGUAUAGGCAGCACAUAUACUAAAAUUAGAAUGAUGCAGACAAAAUUCAUAUGGCCCCUGAGCAAGGAUGACAUGCAAAUUUGUGACACAUAUCAUACUCAG
This is a small nuclear RNA of Protopterus annectens (West African lungfish), 108 nucleotides long. Lineage: Eukaryota; Metazoa; Chordata; Ceratodontiformes; Protopteridae. The record is from RefSeq and is a predicted model, not a curated record.